Ctenopharyngodon idella (grass carp) is the source of this 2511-nucleotide long non-coding RNA. RefSeq lists it as uncharacterized. The transcript is spliced from 2 exons. Lineage: Eukaryota; Metazoa; Chordata; Actinopteri; Cypriniformes; Xenocyprididae. The record is from RefSeq and is a predicted model, not a curated record.
GGAGAGGCCACUGAUCAGCCGCUCUAAGGAUGAGCUCCUGAAAAAUUAUAAAAGAUUAAGCCAAAAAGUGAGACAGAGAGUGAGAUAAUGACAGAAAACAAGUAAAAACAGCAGAGGAACAACUUGGAUUUGGGUAAAGACUGAUUUUUGUUUUCUAGAAAAUACAUUUUAAUAAAAGAAAGAAGACUGGAAGCUGUGGAUUAGCAUCUGGCUGCUGGAUCUCCACUAUAACAGCUAACUGCAGCUUUUUUUUUAAAGGAACUACAGCUGAAAAACUUCACACAGUUGUUGAUCUUCACUUGCUAAACAGAGAGGUGAGCACUUUCUGGCAAAAAAACCUUCACAAAAACUGUAUAUUUUGAUCAUAUUCUAGUAAAAACUCUCAUUAUCACAAGCUAAAAGCUAAGUUAAGUUAGCUGCAGUUUUGACUCAGUGCCCAGUCUGAUCAGUCUGAUCGCCAUGGCGACCCUGGCCCAGGCAGAGUGCAGGGAGGUGUCUUACCCAGAGAAGUGCAGAAGUGUGCAGGCCAGAAAAAAACACAAAGAGAAAACUCUCAGAGACAAUCCUGAUCUUCUGUACGCUGACUACAUUCAACUCAAUGGGAAAAGAAUCAAGAACAACCUCAUCUUCUACACCCCUCUGAUUACUGCAUGGAAAUCAGCCAUCUGUGAGGAAUACAAGCACAUUUUUAAAGAAGGAAUCGGUCGAGGUGGAAGAUUAACUAUAUGCAAAGAUGAAAUGCUGGACACAGACAACCCCAUUCUCACCAUAACCUACUACACUAAAGGCACCUUCCUUCUUCAAGGCAAUGAAGCAAGCCUGAACUCAUUCGAGGAGAUUUUCCCCCUGCUAAAGACCAGAGUCGAGGAGGAGAGAGACGAGCCUCAAGCAAACUGCACAGACUCUGAGGAGGAAGACCCAGUCAAUCUUUCACCUUCACCAUAUGACCGUCGACUGAGAAACCGUUUAGCUUUGCUGGAACUGGACUAAAUUCAGAGAACACACUCAACUCAAACUCUCUGACACACACAACACAAACAUUUACAUCCAAGAGCUCAAAGAUGAACUCAGGCAGCUGAAGAAAGACACCAACUCCUCCAUCACUGAACUCUCGAGAGCUCUCAGAGAAGUGCAAGAAGAAAACCAAAGCUCCUCCUACAGACUACACAAACACAGACAGUGAGCCUGCCACAAACACACAGACACCCACAGAAACACACACAUCACCUGCCCACCCUCCAGAACCUGAUCUAGAUGUUCUUCUCCUCAUGGACUCUAAUGGACCCACAGAAACUCUUCCCACAUCAAAAAGUCAGUGCAAAACGAUGCAGCACAACAGGCCAGGCCCAGAAGAUCAUCAGAGACUUCACAGGACACCCCUCAUGUGUUAUAAUCCACACCGGGACUAAUGACCUCCACUCGGCUGCGCAACAAUACUGUCAGGAAAAUGGCAGAAAUCCCCAGCAAAAAAUUCCCAGAGUCCCAAAUCAUCAUCUCCACACUUCUUCCACGACGUGACACACCACCACACAUCAUCUACAGCAUCAGUGCUGAAAUUUUUCAUAGAUGUUCUGCACUCCCAAAUCUGCACCUGGUCCACCACCACCACAUCAGCCUCCAACACCCGUAUGAUGGACUCCAUCUACACAAAGACGCAGUGCGUGUUUUUGCAAAAACCCUAAAGGAUGCAGCCCUCUGACACCUAUUACCUGACUCCAGAACACUACCGGCCCAUCCACCCCUACAUGCCCAGACACUCCCCUCCGACCCCGGUUUACCGUAGUCAGCUGGAUCCGGCCCGUAUCCAGAUGAGAUGGAGGACCUGCGCCUUGACAUGACCACAACGCAGCCCUGAAGUGUCAGCAGAGAUUGAGUCAACUAGAUCAUCCCCUGUGAAGGCCUCAUCGACAGCCAGUGGCACAGUUCCUCAACAGACUGUCCAUACCAGCGUGAUGAAUACGAUCCUCAACUGGAUGGAACUGGAAUAAAUACUUUGACUGUUGCAAUCCGAUCGGACUCAUUAUGAUUCAGGCAGCUAUCAUAAAGCACUGUUUGCUGUUGGCCAGAGGAGAACUGGCCCCCCGACUGAGCCUGGUUUCUCCCAAGGUUUUUUUUUUCUUCUCCAUUUUAACACCUGUUUGCCACCUGAUGUCACCUGUUGGAGUUUGGGUUCCUUGCCGCUGUCGCCUUUGGCUUGCUUAGUUGGGGACACUUGAUAUUCAACAGUGUUUUGAUCUCCUGCAUUGACACCAUUGUAUGAGAACUGAACUGAGCUGGAUGAUGACAUCACUGUUCACUCCAGUGCUGAUAUAGAUAAAUUAACUAAAUUAAUAACUAUUGAUUCUUACAUCGGAAUGAAUCAAUACUGAAUUUACUUAAGAUGGAUAAUGACACCAUUUUCUUUAAGAGCUGCUGUGCAGCCAAAAUUAUAUACCGGUUAUCACUGUAAAGCUGCUUUGACACAAUCUGCAUUGUUAAAAGCGCUAUAUAAAUAAAGGUGACUUGACUUGA